This 511-nucleotide ribosomal RNA is filed under the name uncultured bacterium. Its description in RNAcentral is "partial 16S ribosomal RNA". It matches the Rfam family "Bacterial small subunit ribosomal RNA", at positions 28 to 523 of the family's 1533-position model. The record is from RNAcentral.
GAUGAACGCUGGCGGCAUGCCUAAUACAUGCAAGUCGAACGAGAGGAAGGAAAGCUUGCUUUUCUGAAUCUAGGGGCGAACGGGUGAGUAACACGUAGGCAACCUGCCCAUGUGCCCGGGAUAACUUCUGGAAACGGAUGCUAAAACCGGAUAGGUAGCAGACAAGCAUUUGACUGCUAUUAAAGUGGCUAAGGCCAUGAACCUGGAUGGACCGUCGGUUCAUUAGCGAGUUGGUGAGGUAACGGCCCACCAAGACAACGAUGAAUAGCCGGCCGAAGGGGGGGGCCGGCACAAUUGGACUGAGACACGGCCCAAACUCCUACGGGAGGCAGCAGUAGGGAAUUUUCGUCAAUGGGGGGAACCCUGAACGAGCAAUGCCGCGUGAGUGAGGAAGGUCUUCGGAUCGUAAAGCUCUGUUGUAAGAGAAAAACGGCAUUCAUAGGGAAUGAUGAGUGAGUGAUGGUAUCUUACCAGAAAGUCACGGCCAACUACGUGCCAGCCGCCGCGGUAA